GACGAACGCUGGCGGCGUGCUUAACACAUGCAAGUCGAACGGAAAGGCCCCUUUGGGGGUACUCGAGUGGCGAACGGGUGAGUAACACGUGAGUAACCUGCCCUUGACUUCGGGAUAACUUCAGGAAACUGGGGCUAAUACCGGAUAGGAAUCCUUGCUGCAUGGUGGGGGUUGGAAAGCUUCGGCGGUUUUGGAUGGACUCGCGGCUUAUCAGCUUGUUGGUGGGGUAGUGGCUUACCAAGGCUUUGACGGGUAGCCGGCCUGAGAGGGCGACCGGCCACAUUGGGACUGAGGUACGGCCCAGACUCCUACGGGAGGCAGCAGUGGGGAAUAUUGCACAAUGGGCGGAAGCCUGAUGCAGCAACGCCGCGUGCGGGAUGACGGCCUUCGGGUUGGAAACCGCUUUCAGCAGGGGCGAAGCUUGUGGUGACGGUACCUGCAGAAGAAGCACCGGCUAACUACGUG
RNAcentral lists this ribosomal RNA (465 nucleotides) under uncultured bacterium. RNAcentral describes it as "partial 16S ribosomal RNA". It matches the Rfam family "Bacterial small subunit ribosomal RNA", at positions 28 to 507 of the family's 1533-position model. The record is from RNAcentral.